GCGCCGAAGCGCUUAACGCACCUCCUGAUCAGUCAAUGCAGUUGUCACCUGCAUUCGACUGUCAAUCUGACUUGAGCGCUGGACCAAAAGUCAUCCGAAUUGGUUAAGAAGCAGAAGUGAAAUCCAUGUGUGCUGCUUCACAGCGAUAUUAUCUUUAAAAUUUACUAAUUUCCUUAAUUUUCUGUUCUCAGAACGGUAAUUUAUUCAGUGCAACCACUUGGGGUUAAAAUCUAAUGAAUUUUGCAAUUUUUUCCUCAAUUAGCUUUAUGUGAAAUUACAUAACCUAAAACCCGUUGAACCAUGAGAGAUGAUCAUGAGUUCAGCCAAACCAAGCUCGACCGGAUUUGCCGAUUAGCCACCGAAUUGCAUUAGGGAGCAAAAACGUAAGUUCGUUUUUCCAUUUAGAAGGCUAUUUUUUAAACAAUAUAUGUAUUUUACCGCUACAGGAAUUUAUUAAUCCACCAAAUAUACCGACUAAGACAUGCAAACAGCUUUGUUUUAAUGUCCCCGGACUGUGAUUAAUAAACCGGAUGAAUCCUCCCGUUGGCCACAGCCAACAUUUUAAUAAAUUCGUUUGCACACGAGCAAACGCGGCCAAUCCGGUAAUGCCGAACCCAAUCCAGCCAUGUCACCAUGGUCACGUUGUUAAUUGCUUUGGCAGAGGGCCAGAAGCCAGAGAAACGACGCAUGUUGAUGCCUAUCUGCUGAGACGCCACCAAAGCUGUGUUGGAGUACCAAAUGAGACCGAGCACCUUGCCUGGAAUUUGCCCAAAUGCAGCAUCGCGAUCGGGCACUCCAAGCCAAGCUCACAUUCAUGUACUCCUCAAACAGCUGGUCAGCAGAAACGUCCUUCUGCUACAAGUAUCAGCAAAGAAUCAACCAGUUUCUCCGUUUUUCAACACCCUCACUCACCUCAGCCCACGGUUCAAAACCAUGCCAGGCCACUGUUGCAGCACAAGUUGCCCGACAUUGGACCAGGUCCACGAGCAAACAAAUGUACGCCUUCGACAUCAACAAAAACCUCCCUCAAGUUUCGCCUCAAACUUGCCGAUCUCAAGCUUCAAAAAAUACAACAAGAACAAGACCUGCUCAAGAAGAAACUGGAUCUGGAACGUGACGUUUUUAAUCGUAAGUAUGCACUGCUUGGGGUUUCUUCCGAUGCCCAACCAUCUGACCAUCAAGUGACAACCGUGGAUUACUCAAACCCAGCUCAAUCGGGCGCAAUAGUGAGUCAAACUUCACUCGCUAAACUCAAUCCAGUUGAUGUGCCAAAUCCAGCGUCCAGUCAGCGCAAAUGGUACUGGACACCAUCUCCAACAUGCUCGACGGCCAGCCAACCCCCGCACACAGAAGUCGCCAAAUCAAAACAGCGUGCCAACUCCGCACGAACAACCAACGAUGGACAACUGGAAGAGGAAAAUGCCAGCUUCCAGCUCCAACAACAUUACCGAUCCGCGGGUCAACAAUAUCUGUGGACGGCCACCAAUCACACCGACGUCUACCGUGCCGCCAACGCUUGGUCGAUCGUUCGGAGUCGUAUCGUCCGCUACCAAUACCAAGCUCUGACGAUCAGCUGUUUUCCGAUCUUAACACAAGGAAGAAUCACGACACAAAUACUGUCUCGCACCCCGACUACUUACCACGAAAAGGAAAACAAGAAAGAUCGGCAAAUGUUCACGUUCGGAUCAUACUACGACACACAAGUGAGCCUAACCAACCGGCCAACCCAGUCGCUUGUGAGUAUGGAAUGUGACAACACCGAAUUCAACGACCUGCGAAACUCGGUCGUCCAGAUGACUAAACUCCUCAGAACAAACCUGCGAUUUUUCCAAACCUCGUACUUCAACACCUUGCGCGUACCGAUUAAUUCAGCAGCGAGCUGUAUCUACAAGCAGAAGGCCUCAGUACUACGGGGUGCUGAACAAGUUCGACUACAUUUCCAGUCCAGCUGGAACACUUUGGUACCUUCAAGCCUAACCGGGAACAGCAGCGCACGAGGAAUAUCACUUCACUUUGACCCGCCGAAGGGACCCGAUUUGAUGCUUGUGUCGAAAGUAAACGUUGAACGGGAGACCUACCAAGAUCGGAUCAGUUGUUUACAGAGUGUUCGCGCACACACAAUCACCACGAGAACCAGUACACCACAACACACCGCAGAUCUACACAUCAUCGUGAGUACGAGCUAUAUGAAGAUUGCGUUCAGGAAAGGUUGCUCACCUGCUGAAUGGACUCCUUCACCCGCAAGUUCAUUGCUUGACGUCGUUGAUCAUUUUCACCUGGAGCCGUCUGGACACUCGGUGCGGUGGAAGGUAAACCGCACAGAUUGGUUCGGUGUACCUGGGGGGACUGUUACGCGCCGAAGCGCUUAACGCACCUCCUGAUCAGUCAAUGCAGUUGUCACCUGCAUUCGACUGUCAAUCUGACUUGAGCGCUGGACCAAAAGUCAUCCGAAUUGGUUAAGAAGCAGAAGUGAAAUCCAUGUGUGCUGCUUCACAGCGAUAUUAUCUUUAAAAUUUACUAAUUUCCUUAAUUUUCUGUUCUCAGAACGGUAAUUUAUUCAGUGCAACCACUUGGGGUUAAAAUCUAAUGAAUUUUGCAAUUUUUUCCUCAAUUAGCUUUAUGUGAAAUUACAUAACCUAAAACCCGUUGAACCAUGAGAGAUGAUCAUGAGUUCAGCCAAACCAAGCUCGACCGGAUUUGCCGAUUAGCCACCGAAUUGCAUUAGGGAGCAAAAACGAAUUUAUUAAUCCACCAAAUAUACCGACUAAGACAUGCAAACAGCUUUGUUUUAAUGUCCCCGGACUGUGAUUAAUAAACCGGAUGAAUCCUCCCG
Culex pipiens pallens (northern house mosquito) is the source of this 2833-nucleotide RNA transcript. RefSeq lists it as uncharacterized. NCBI's taxonomy places the organism in Eukaryota, Metazoa, Arthropoda, Insecta, Diptera, Culicidae. The transcript is spliced from 2 exons. The record is from RefSeq and is a predicted model, not a curated record.